This 408-nucleotide long non-coding RNA is filed under the name Hordeum vulgare. RNAcentral's name for it is "long non-coding RNA (HVUL_LNC001073)". Lineage: Eukaryota; Viridiplantae; Streptophyta; Magnoliopsida; Poales; Poaceae. The record is from RNAcentral.
AAACUUUCUCGGAUUAGGUUGAAAGUUGGCGUGCCGCCUUAUUAUAGUGUAGGUAGGCCACCUGCCAAAUUUCAUCGCAAUGGGAGUCUGUUUGAUAGCCGAACCAUUAAACCUGUAGCGGGACUAUAGCCAGUUUAAUUGUGGGACAUUUUUGGCUUUAGAAACUUCGUGUCUCGCCGCAAACUUCCCUUUCAUCACAACCCAACCAGCCCACCUAAGCCUACCUAACCCUGGGGCGCAUCCGGAGCCGUCCGAUUGCAAUCGAAGGGCUCGAAACGCCCAAAAAACCCUAAAAAACGAAGCCCCCUCCUAUGAAUAGCUAGCCUCCCCUUCCAAAACUGGUUGUCUCUCUCCUCCUAAGAAUCCGAGCCCCGCCGCUUCCUCAACGCCACUUAUCUUGCAAGAGCC